This 57-nucleotide transfer RNA is filed under the name Agrobacterium salinitolerans. RNAcentral describes it as "tRNA-Gly". It matches the Rfam family "tRNA", at positions 8 to 63 of the family's 71-position model. From Rfam's summary of the family: Transfer RNA (tRNA) molecules are approximately 80 nucleotides in length. The record is from RNAcentral. Lineage: Bacteria; Pseudomonadati; Pseudomonadota; Alphaproteobacteria; Hyphomicrobiales; Rhizobiaceae.
UAGCUCAGGGGUAGAGCACAACCUUGCCAAGGUUGGGGUCGAGGGUUCAAAUCCCUU